RNAcentral lists this ribosomal RNA (368 nucleotides) under uncultured organism. Its description in RNAcentral is "bacterial SSU rRNA". It matches the Rfam family "Bacterial small subunit ribosomal RNA", at positions 526 to 896 of the family's 1533-position model. The record is from RNAcentral.
CGAAGGAUCCAAGCGUUAUCCGGAUUCAUUGGGUUUAAAGGGUGCGUAGGCGGGUUUAUAAGUCAGUGGUGAAAGCCGAUCGCUUAACGAUCGAACUGCCAUUGAUACUGUAGACCUAGAGUACAGAUGACGUUGGCGGAAUAUGACAUGUAGCGGUGAAAUGCAUAGAUAUGUCAUAGAACACCGAUUGCGAAGGCAGCUGACAAAACUGUAACUGACGCUGAUGCACGAAAGUGCGGGGAUCAAACAGGAUUAGAUACCCUGGUAGUCCGCACAGUAAACGAUGAUAACUAGUUGUUUGCGAUAUACAGUGAGCGACCAAGCGAAAGCGAUAAGUUAUCCACCUGGGGAGUACGCUCGCAAGAGUG